Non-coding RNA from Lachnospiraceae bacterium, 171 nucleotides. The record is from Rfam. Lineage: Bacteria; Bacillati; Bacillota; Clostridia; Lachnospirales; Lachnospiraceae.
UCGAACUCUGUAUCUGAUUCGGCAGGGGAAGUUCCUGCCUGACCCCGUGUGAGGGGUUACAAAAAUUCUAAUCUCCGACGUGCACCCAUCGUGUCAGGUGGGAUGUGCGAAGCUCGGUGAAGAGCGGGGAAGAAGCUUGAGACAGCUUGGAUAACCGCGGGAAGCUAUAAA